RNAcentral lists this long non-coding RNA (637 nucleotides) under Rattus norvegicus (Norway rat). RNAcentral's name for it is "long non-coding RNA NONRATT032934". Lineage: Eukaryota; Metazoa; Chordata; Mammalia; Rodentia; Muridae. The record is from RNAcentral.
CGCUAAAUAGGUAACUGCUUUUCCACAGGCAGUAGAACUCCUCUGCUCCAGGUUGCCUUCCCCCUCUCCUUGUGGCCAGCCUCUACUGUACUUCACAGACACUCCUUGAAACACCUUCGACCUUUUCCAUGCCUGCCAACAGCCUGCUUUGCCGUUACUCUGCACACUGCCACUUCCUUUUCAAAGCUGGACCACAGGCUGCGCUUCCAACAUGGCCGUCAGCCUCGCAACCCCAGAAGUUUGGAUAUCAAAAGCAAGAGAAGAGGUCCAACGGCAUUGAGUAGAGGCACCAGAGUUGUCCAUAACUAUGUCACACUGAACGGGACAGUCCCUGAAGAUGACAGGUCUCCAGCCACAUUGUAAUAGAGCGAGGAGUGGUAAAGAGUGGUUCAAGACGUCAAGGUGUUGGAACAUUCUCCAAGGUCCUAAGAAAAAGCAUGUUCAUACGGUCUCUUCUGUACCGCCUUCCAGUCAGUAGGAGCCGAUGCAGCCACAGCAGCUCUAAUUACUGACUGUACGACGGCUAGAAAAUAAUCACUUUCUUGCAAAGAAACUUCUCACUUGGCAGAAAGAAAAAUCAAUCCCAGAUUCUGACUGGCCGAGCUCUCCCCAACAUAUAGCAAAGCGCUCUGGACUG